GACGAACGCUGGCGGCGUGCUUAAUACAUGCAAGUCAACGACUUUUAGAGUAGCAAUAUUUUAAAGGAAGUGGCGCACGGGUGAGUAACACGUAGGUAAUCUGCCUUCAGGACUGACACAACUCGUCGAAAGACGGGCUAAUAUCAGAUAAUGCAGCGGCUCCGCAUGGAGACAGUUGUUAAAGUACAAGUGCCUGAAGAUGAGCCUGCGGUCCAUUAGCUAGUUGGUAGAGUAACAGCCUACCAAGGCAACGAUGGAUAGCUGGUCUGAGAGGAUGAUCAGCCACACUGGAACUGAGACACGGUCCAGACUCCUACGGGAGGCAGCAGUAAGGAAUAUUGCUCAAUGGCCGAAAGGCUGAAGCAGCAACGCCGCGUGAAGGAUGAAUGGCCUUUGGCCUGUAAACUUCUGUAAAAAAGGGAAAAC
RNAcentral lists this ribosomal RNA (426 nucleotides) under uncultured bacterium. Its description in RNAcentral is "bacterial SSU rRNA". It matches the Rfam family "Bacterial small subunit ribosomal RNA", at positions 28 to 450 of the family's 1533-position model. The record is from RNAcentral.